This is a non-coding RNA of Trichonephila clavata, 72 nucleotides long. The record is from the annotation of a GenBank genome assembly. NCBI's taxonomy places the organism in Eukaryota, Metazoa, Arthropoda, Arachnida, Araneae, Nephilidae.
GUCACUGUAGCGCAAUGGAUAGCGCGUUGGACUUCUAAUCCAAAGUCUUGGGUUCGAAUCCCAAAUGGGAUG